GACGACGCUGGCGGCGUGCUUAACACAUGCAAGUCGACGACGCUACUAUGUAGCAAUAUGUAGUAGUGGAGUGGCGUAAGGGUGAGUAAAAUAUACGUAACCUGCCCAUAGGAGACGGAUAACACUACGAAAGUGGUGCUAAAACGGCAUGAUGCCUAUUGACCGCAUGGUUGAUGGGUUAAGGAGUCGGUAACAGACUGCCUAUGGAGGGGCGUGUAUCCGAUUAGCUAGUUGGUAGGGUAACGGCCUACCAAGGCGACGAUCGGUAGCUGGUCUGAGAGGAUGAUCAGCCACACUGGCACUGAGACACGGUCCAGACUCCUACGGGAGGCAGCAGUGAGGAAUAUUGGUCAAUGGACGAGAGUCUGAACCAGCCAAGUCGCGUGAAGGAAGACGGCCCUACGGGUUGUAAACUUCUUUUGUAAGGGAAUAAAUAGUCUUACGCGCUAAGACGUUGCAGGUACCUUACGAAUAAGGAUCGGCUAACUCCGUG
RNAcentral lists this ribosomal RNA (493 nucleotides) under uncultured bacterium. RNAcentral describes it as "bacterial SSU rRNA". It matches the Rfam family "Bacterial small subunit ribosomal RNA", at positions 33 to 507 of the family's 1533-position model. The record is from RNAcentral.